This 442-nucleotide ribosomal RNA is filed under the name uncultured bacterium. RNAcentral describes it as "partial 16S ribosomal RNA". It matches the Rfam family "Bacterial small subunit ribosomal RNA", at positions 338 to 795 of the family's 1533-position model. The record is from RNAcentral.
CCUACGGGAGGCAGCAGUGGGGAAUAUUGGGCAAUGGACGCAAGUCUGACCCAGCAACGCCGCGUGAAGGAAGAAGGCUUUCGGGUUGUAAACUUCUUUUAAGGGGGAAGAGGAGAAGACGGUACCCCUUGAAUAAGCCACGGCUAACUACGUGCCAGCAGCCGGUGUAAUACGUAGGUGGCAAGCGUUGUCCGGAUUUACUGGGUGUAAAGGGGGUGCAGCCGGGCCGACAAGUCAGAUGUGAAAACGGCGGGCUUAAACCGCAGACAGCUUUUGAAACUAUAGAUCUUGAGUGCCGGAGAGGAGAUCGGAAUUCCUAGUGUAGCGGUGAAAUGCGUAGAUAUAAGGAAGAACACCAGUGGCGAAGGCGGAUUACUGGACGGUAACUGACGGUGAGGCGCGAAAGCGUGGGGAGCAAACAGGAUUAGAUACCCCUGUAGUC